GACGAACGCUGGCGGCGUGCUUAACACAUGCAAGUCGAACGGAAAGGCCCUGCUUUUGUGGGGUGCUCGAGUGGCGAACGGGUGAGUAACACGUGAGUAACCUGCCCUUGACUUUGGGAUAACUUCAGGAAACUGGGGCUAAUACCGGACAGGAGCUCCUGCUGCAUGGUGGGGGUUGGAAAGUCUCGGCGGUUGUGGAUGGACUCGCGGCUUAUCAGCUUGUUGGUGGGGUAGUGGCUUACCAAGGCUUUGACGGGUCGCCGGCCUGAGAGGGUGACCGGCGACGUUGGGACUGAGAUACGGCCCAGACUCCUACGGUAGGCAGCGGUGGGGAGUAUUGCACAAUGGUCGGAAGCCUGAUGCAACAGCGCCGCGUGCGGGAUGACGGCCUUCGGGUUGUAAACCGCUUUCGCCUGUGACGAAGCGUGAGUGACGGUAAUGGGUGAAGAAGCACCGGCUAACUACGUG
Molecule: ribosomal RNA, 468 nt
Filed under: uncultured bacterium
Lineage: Bacteria
Description: partial 16S ribosomal RNA
Rfam family: Bacterial small subunit ribosomal RNA
Source: RNAcentral